Molecule: ribosomal RNA, 253 nt
Filed under: uncultured bacterium
Lineage: Bacteria
Description: partial 16S ribosomal RNA
Rfam family: Bacterial small subunit ribosomal RNA
Source: RNAcentral
UACGAAGGUGGCAAGCGUUACUCGGAAUUACUAGGCGUAAAGGGCAGGUAGGUGGUUUGGUUAGUCUGUUGUGAAAGCUCCUUGCUUAACGGGGAGAGGUCAACAGAUACUGCCAGGCUUGAGUAUAGGAGAGGGUACUGGAAUUCCCGGUGUAGCGGUGAAAUGCGCAGAGAUCGGGAGGAACACCAAUGGCGAAAGCAGGUACCUGGACUAUUACUGACACUCAGCUGCGAAAGCUAGGGGAGCAAACAGG